CAACCCUUGUUAUUAGUUGCCAGCAUUAAGUUGGGCACUCUAAUGAGACUGCCGGUGACAAACCGGAGGAAGGUGGGGAUGACGUCAAGUCAUCAUGCCCCUUAUGACCUGGGCUACACACGUGCUACAAUGGGCAGUACAACGAGAAGCAAGCCUGCGAAGGCAAGCGAAUCUCUGAAAGCUGUUCUCAGUUCGGACUGCAGUCUGCAACUCGACUGCACGAAGCUGGAAUCGCUAGUAAUCGCGGAUCAGCACGCCGCGGUGAAUACGUUCCCGGGCCUUGUACACACCGCCCGUCACACCAUGGGANUUCUGCAAUGCCCAAAGCCGGUGGCCUAACCUUCGGGAAG
Molecule: ribosomal RNA, 350 nt
Filed under: Lactobacillus acidophilus
Lineage: Bacteria; Bacillati; Bacillota; Bacilli; Lactobacillales; Lactobacillaceae
Description: bacterial SSU rRNA
Rfam family: Bacterial small subunit ribosomal RNA
Source: RNAcentral